This is a long non-coding RNA of Mauremys mutica (yellowpond turtle), 560 nucleotides long. RefSeq lists it as uncharacterized. The record is from RefSeq and is a predicted model, not a curated record. The transcript has 3 exons. NCBI's taxonomy places the organism in Eukaryota, Metazoa, Chordata, Testudines, Geoemydidae.
GGGACUAUUGUGAUCAACUGCUCAGACCUCCAGUAUAAAACAACGCAUAGGACUUCCUUGGAGUAAUUCUUGUUGGAACCAGGAUAUAUCUAUCUUUUUGUUAAAUCAAGAGUUGAUGUUUUUCUAUCUCCAGUGAUGGAGAAUUCACCACAACGAUAGGCACUGUCAAACACAUCACCAAGUUCUUUGGAGCAGGUACCGUCUCUUACAACCUUAAGUAGAAGCUGUGGAAAUGGGUGGAUGCAACAGAGGAAGGAGGAAGGAACAAGGUGGAAAGAAAAAUGGCUUGAGAAAGAUGACUGCUGACAGAGACCCAAGAGGAGCUAAGGGACAGUGUGAGAACUAUUAGCUUUGCUCCCAUAGGCUGGCUGAAAACCAGAGACAGAAUUGUUUUGACCAGAAAUGAUCAACGCCCAGUAAACACAAGAGAAAAAGGGAUCUGAGAGGGAUUUAAAGAAGGACACAUUCACUAAUGGGGAGAAAUAAGACACAGAAACCCAUUGGGGACAACUGGAAAAACUAGGUGUGUGGGUUACAAUUGUAUGUGCUCUCAGCCCUGU